AUGAUGAAGAGGAGGAGGCGGUCACCUGGUGUCCCACACUCUGAUCCUGGAGUCAAAGUGUCCGCUGAUCACCGAGUUCUCAGAACAAACCAGAUCGCUGCAGGAAGACGACACCUCCAGCACCUCCACACCUGGAGGUCCCACACUCUGAUGCUUCGGUCUUCGCUGCCCGUCACCACCUGAUGAAGACAACCACUGAACCUUGCUGCGGUCACCUUCCUCCUGUGACCGGUCAGGGUCAGCUGAGAUGGGGAGACGAACAGAGUCGUCCAGACGCCACAACAAGGCAGACUUAUCGUAGGAGGCCGCGAGGAUCCUGAAGCCCUGAAAACAUGUCCACGGAUAUCAGACGGCAUGUUGAAAUACAUCACAGAAUAACACAGGUAACCUCACC
This is a long non-coding RNA of Pungitius pungitius (ninespine stickleback), 394 nucleotides long. RefSeq lists it as uncharacterized. The record is from RefSeq and is a predicted model, not a curated record. Lineage: Eukaryota; Metazoa; Chordata; Actinopteri; Perciformes; Gasterosteidae. The transcript is spliced from 3 exons.